ACAUAGGCUUUCUUGAAAGCCACUCAAUGGGUAAAUAUUAGUUUUU
Myotis brandtii (Brandt's bat) is the source of this 46-nucleotide non-coding RNA. Lineage: Eukaryota; Metazoa; Chordata; Mammalia; Chiroptera; Vespertilionidae. The record is from Rfam.